This 498-nucleotide ribosomal RNA is filed under the name uncultured bacterium. Its description in RNAcentral is "partial 16S ribosomal RNA". It matches the Rfam family "Bacterial small subunit ribosomal RNA", at positions 30 to 523 of the family's 1533-position model. The record is from RNAcentral.
AUCGAACGCUGGCGGCAUGCCUUACACAUGCAAGUCGAACGGUAACAGGUCUUCGGAUUCUGACGAGUUGCGAACGGGUGAGUAAUACAUCGGAACGUGCCUAGUCGUGGGGGAUAACUACUCGAAAGAGUGGCUAAUACCGCAUGAGAUCUACGGAUGCAAGCAGGGGAUCGCAAGACCUUGUGCUACUAGAGCGGCCGAUGGCCGAUUAGGUAGUUGGCGGGAUAAAAGCUUACCAAGCCGACGAUCUGUAGCUGGUCUGAGAGGACGAUCGGCCACACUGGGACAGAGAAACGGACCAGACUCCUGCGGGAGGGAGCAGUGGGGAAGUUUGGGCAAUGGGCGCAAGCCUGAUCCAGCAAUGCCGCGUGCAGGAUGAAGGCCUUAGGGUUGUAAACUGCUUUUGUACGGAACGAAAAGCCCCGGGUUAAUACCCUGGGGUCAUGACGGUACCGUAAGAAUAAGCACCGGCUAACUACGUGCCAGCCGCCGCCGUAA